This is a long non-coding RNA of Serinus canaria (Common canary), 1733 nucleotides long. The record is from Ensembl. Lineage: Eukaryota; Metazoa; Chordata; Aves; Passeriformes; Fringillidae.
UCAAGGUUGUCCAAGUUGGCCUGAGGGUCAUCCAAGGUGGUCCAAGGUGGUCCAAGGGUCAUCCAAGGUGGUCCAAGGUGGUCCAAGGGUCAUCCAAGGUGGUGCAAGGGUCAUUCAAGGUUGUCCAAGGUGGUCCAAGGGUCAUCCAAGGUGGUCCAGGGUGGUCUAAGGAGGUCCAAGGGUGGCCUGAGGGUCACUCGAGGUGUUCCAAGGGUCAUCCAAGGUGGUCCAGGAUGGCCUGAGGGUCACUUAAGGUUGUCCAAGGAGGUCCAAGGGUCAUCCAAGGUGGUCCAAGGGUCAUCCAAGGUGGUCCAAGGGUCAUCCAAGGUGGUCCAAGGGUCAUCCAAGGUGGUCCAAGGGUCAUCCAAGGUGGUCCAAGGGUCAUCCAAGGUUGUCCAAGGUGGCCUGAGGGUCAUUCCAGGUGGUCCAAGGUGGUUGAAGGUCCAGCCAAGGUGGCCCAAGCUCCAUCCAGGGUUGCCCAGGGUCCAUCCAAGGUGGCCCCAGGUCCAUCUGAGGUGGCCCAAGGUCCAUCCAAGGUGGUCCAAGAUGGUCCCAGGUCCAUCCGAGGUGGUCCAAGGUCACCCCAGCUCCAUCCCAGGAGAUCCAGAAGCCACCUGAGGCCACCAGAAGCUCCUCAGAUCCCCCAAGACCCCAAAAUCCCCCAAAAAAUCCCAAAAAAUCUCAAAAAAUCCCCCAAAAUCCCCAAAAAAUCCCAAAAAUCCCCCAAAAACCCAAAAAAAAAUCCCCAAAAUGCCCCAAAAAUAAAAAAAAAUUCCCAAAAAAUCCCCAAAAAAUCCCAAAAUCCCCAAAAAAUCCCAAAAUCCCCAAAAAUCCCAAAAUCCCCAAAAAUCCCCGAGGCACUUCCGGGGUGGGGGAGGGGCCUUGGACCUCCCCUCCCCCCCCCAAAUUUGGGCUUUUCCCGCCAAAAAAAAUCGGAAAUUUUGGGGAAGAAUUUUGGGAAUUUUGGGAAAAAAAAAUUAAGAAUUUUGGGGAAAAAUUUGGGAAUUUUGGAAAAAAUUUUAGGAAAAAAAUUGAGAAAAAAUGUGGGAAUUUUGGGAAAAAAUUUGGGAAAAAUUUGGGAAUUUUGAGAAAAAUUUGGGGAAAAAAAUUUGGGAAUUUUGGCAAAAAACUGGGAAAAAAAUUUCGGAAUUUUAGGAAAAAAAUUGGAAAUUUUGGGAAGAAUUUUGGGGAAAAAUUUGGGAAUUUUGGAAAAAAAUUUGUGAAAAAAAUGGGAAUUUUGAGAAAAAAUUUUGGAAAAAAAAUGAAAAUUUUGGGAAAAAAUUGGGAAUUUUAGAAAAAAAAUUGGGGAAUUUCGGGAAAAAUUUUGGGAAAAAUUUUGUGAAAAAAUUUGGGAAUUUUGGGGAAAAAAUUGGGAAUUUUGGGAAAAAUCUUGGGAAGAAAAUUGGGAAUUUUGGGGAAAAAUUUAGGAAUUUUGAGGAAAAAAAUGGGGGAAAUUUUGGAAAAAAAUUGGGAAAUUUUGGAAAAAAUUUUGGGAAAAAAUUUGGAAUUUUGGGGAAAAAUUUGGGAAAACAUUUGGGAAAAAAUUUGGAAAUUUGGGGAUAAUUUUGGGAAAAUUUUUGGGGAAAAUGUUGGGAUUUUUGGGGGCGGGAGCAAAUUCCGAUGGUACCCCCGGGACCUCCCGGCUCCUCCUGGCACUUUAAAGACGCCCCCAAAAUCCCCCCAGGAAAAGAAAAAAAUUAAAAUAAAAAUUAAAAAUAAAAAUUAAAAAUUCA